AACGAACGCUGGCGGCAUGCCUAACACAUGCAAGUCGAACGGCUCUUCGGAGCAGUGGCGCACGGGUGAGUAACGCGUGGGAACCUACCCCGAGGUACGGAAUAACGGCUGGAAACGGCCGCUAAUACCGUAUGUGUCCUAAGGGAGAAAGAUUUAUCGCCUUGGGAGGGGCCCGCGUCCGAUUAGCUAGUUGGUGAGGUAAUGGCUC
RNAcentral lists this ribosomal RNA (208 nucleotides) under uncultured bacterium. RNAcentral describes it as "partial 16S ribosomal RNA". It matches the Rfam family "Bacterial small subunit ribosomal RNA", at positions 29 to 266 of the family's 1533-position model. The record is from RNAcentral.